This is a non-coding RNA of Vicugna pacos (alpaca), 521 nucleotides long. Lineage: Eukaryota; Metazoa; Chordata; Mammalia; Artiodactyla; Camelidae. The record is from RefSeq and is a predicted model, not a curated record.
UUAAAGGAAAUGCUUUCAGCUUUACAUUGUUGAGUACAGUGUUAGCUGUGGCCUUAUACAUGGCCUUUAUUAUACUGAGGUAUGUUUCCUUUAUACCCGCUCUAUAGAAGAGUUUUCAUUAUAAAUGGAUGUUGAAUUUUGUCAAAAGCUUUUCCUGCAUCUAUUAAAAGUGGUUUUAUGAUUUUUUUCUUCAAUUUGUUAAUGUGAUGUGUCACAUUAAUUUGAGAAUAUUGUAACAUCCUUGUAUCUCUCAGAUAAGUCUCACUUGAUCAUGGUAUAUGAUCCUUUUAAUGUAUUGUUGAAUUUGGUUUGCUAAUAUUUUGUUGAAAAUUUUUGCAUCUGUGUUCAUCAGCAAUAUUGGCCUAUUGUUCUAUCUUUUUGUAAUCUUUGGUUUCGAUAUCAGGGUUAUGGUGGCUUCAUAGAAUGAAUUUGAAAGAAGGAUAGGAGCUAACUCUUCUCAAUGUUUGGUUGAAUUCACCUGUGGUAGAAAAGCCCUGGACUUCUGUCAGAUCGGAAGAACA